Molecule: ribosomal RNA, 459 nt
Filed under: uncultured bacterium
Lineage: Bacteria
Description: partial 16S ribosomal RNA
Rfam family: Bacterial small subunit ribosomal RNA
Source: RNAcentral
CCUACGGGGGGCAGCAGUGAGGAAUAUUGGUCAAUGGUCGGGAGACUGAACCAGCCAAGCCGCGUGAGGGAUGAAGGUACAGAGUAUCGUAAACCUCUUUUGUCAGGGAACAAAGCCGGGGACGUGUCCCCGGAUGAGUGUACCUGAAGAAAAAGCAUCGGCUAACUCCGUGCCAGCAGCCGCGGUAAUACGGAGGAUGCGAGGGUUAUCCGGAUUUAUUGGGUUUAAAGGGUGCGCAGGCGGUCUGUUAAGUCAGCGGUAAAAGCUCGGGGAUCAACCCCGGACCGCCGUUGAUACUGGCAGUCUCGAGUUGGAGAGAAGUAUGCGGAAUGCGUGGUGUAGCGGUGAAAUGCAUAGAUAUCGCGAAGAACUCCGAUUGCGAAGGCAGCAUGCCGGCUCCACACUGACGCUGAGGCACGAAAGCGUGGGUAUCGAACAGGAUUAGAUACCCGAGUAGUC